GUGUCAGCCGCCGCGGUAAUACGUAGGCAGCAAGCGUUGUUCGGAGUUACUGGGCGUAAAGAGUGCGUAGGCGGUUUUGCAAGUCUGUUGUGAAAUCUCCCGGCUUAACUGGGAGGGUGCGGUGGAAACUGCAAAGCUGGAGUGUGGGAAAGGUAGGCGGAAUUCCUGGUGUAGCGGUGAAAUGCGUAGAUAUCAGGAGGAACACCGGUGGUGUAGACGGCUUACUAGACCAUGACUGACGCUGAGGCACGAAAGCGUGGGUAGCAAACAGGAUUAGAAACCCGUGUAGUCC
This 292-nucleotide ribosomal RNA is filed under the name uncultured bacterium. Its description in RNAcentral is "partial 16S ribosomal RNA". It matches the Rfam family "Bacterial small subunit ribosomal RNA", at positions 505 to 796 of the family's 1533-position model. The record is from RNAcentral.